Molecule: ribosomal RNA, 121 nt
Filed under: Penicillium olsonii
Lineage: Eukaryota; Fungi; Ascomycota; Eurotiomycetes; Eurotiales; Aspergillaceae
Source: RNAcentral
ACAUACGAUCACAGGGUGUGGAAAACAGGGCUUCCCGUCCGCUCAGCCGUACUUAAGCCACACGCCGGUGAGUUAGUAGUUGGGUGGCUGACCACCAGCGAAUCCUCACUGUUGUAUGUUU